GUCGGGGUAGCUCAGUUGGUAGAGCAGAGGACUGAAAAUCCUCGUGUCAC
RNAcentral lists this transfer RNA (50 nucleotides) under Urospatha decipiens. RNAcentral describes it as "partial tRNA-Phe". It matches the Rfam family "tRNA", at positions 1 to 48 of the family's 71-position model. From Rfam's summary of the family: Transfer RNA (tRNA) molecules are approximately 80 nucleotides in length. The record is from RNAcentral. Lineage: Eukaryota; Viridiplantae; Streptophyta; Magnoliopsida; Alismatales; Araceae.